GGAGAGGUCGCAUAGUUGGUCUAGUGCGCGGCGCCGGAAACGCCGUAUACCCGAAAGGGUAUCGCGAGUUCGAAUCUCGCCCUCUCCGCAA
This 91-nucleotide transfer RNA is filed under the name Candidatus Nealsonbacteria bacterium CG10_big_fil_rev_8_21_14_0_10_36_228. RNAcentral describes it as "tRNA-Ser". It matches the Rfam family "tRNA". From Rfam's summary of the family: Transfer RNA (tRNA) molecules are approximately 80 nucleotides in length. Their secondary structure includes four short double-helical elements and three loops (D, anti-codon, and T loops). Further hydrogen bonds mediate the characteristic L-shaped molecular structure. tRNAs have two regions of fundamental functional importance: the anti-codon, which is responsible for specific mRNA codon recognition, and the 3' end, to which the tRNAs corresponding amino acid is attached (by aminoacyl-tRNA synthetases). tRNAs cope with the degeneracy of the genetic code in two manners: having more than one tRNA (with a specific anti-codon) for a particular amino acid; and 'wobble' base-pairing, i.e. permitting non-standard base-pairing at the 3rd anti-codon position. RNAcentral also lists the same sequence under 2 other names. The record is from RNAcentral. Lineage: Bacteria; Candidatus Nealsoniibacteriota.